AGGCGCCGGAAUGCAGCCAAGGAUGACUUGCCGGCGAACACUCGUUUAUAUGUGUGUAUGAGGUUUACAUGUAAAUGAGGUGAUUGGCAAGUCAUUCUUGGCUACAUUUCUGCCUCA
This is a microRNA precursor of Ipomoea nil (Japanese morning glory), 117 nucleotides long. Lineage: Eukaryota; Viridiplantae; Streptophyta; Magnoliopsida; Solanales; Convolvulaceae. The record is from Rfam.